RNAcentral lists this ribosomal RNA (799 nucleotides) under uncultured Glomus. RNAcentral describes it as "SSU rRNA". It matches the Rfam family "Eukaryotic small subunit ribosomal RNA", at positions 314 to 1114 of the family's 1831-position model. Lineage: Eukaryota; Fungi; Glomeromycota; Glomeromycetes; Glomerales; Glomeraceae. The record is from RNAcentral.
AUCAACUUUCGAUGGUAGGAUAGAGGCCUACCAUGGUGGUAACGGGUAACGGGGUGUUAGGGCACGACACCGGAGAGGGAGCCUGAGAAACGGCUACCACAUCCAAGGAUGGCAGCAGGCGCGCAAAUUACCCAAUCCCGACACGGGGAGGUAGUGACAAUAAAUAACAAUACGGGGUUCUUUAGGAUUUCGUAAUUGGAAUGAGUACAAUUUAUAUCUCUUAACGAGGAACAAUUGGAGGGCAAGUCUGGUGCCAGCAGCCGCGGUAAUUCCAGCUCCAAUAGCGUAUAUUAAAGUUGUUGCAGUUAAAAAGCUCGUAGUUGAAUUUCGGGGUCAGUAGGUUGGUCAUGCCACUGGUAUGUACUGGCCUCACUGAUUCCUCCUUCCUGAUGAGCCGUAAUGCCAUUAAUUUGGUGUUGCGAGGAAUCUGGACUGUUACUUUGAAAAAAUUAGAGUGUUUAAAGCAGGCUAACGCUUGAAUACAUUAGCAUGGAAUAAUGAAAUAGGACGUGCGAUCUUAUUUUGUUGGUUUCUAAGAUUGACGUAAUGAUUAAUAGGGAUAGUUGGGGGCAUUAGUAUUCAAUUGUCAGAGGUGAAAUUCUUGGAUUUAUUGAAGACUAACUACUGCGAAAGCAUUUGCCAAGGAUGUUUUCAUUAAUCAAGAACGAAAGUUAGGGGAUCGAAGACGAUCAAAUACCGUCGUAGUCUUAACCAUAAACUAUGCCGACUAGGGAUCGGAUGAUGUUAAUUUUUUAAUGACUCAUUCGGCGCCUUACGGGAAACCAAAGUGUUUGGGUUC